UCUCCUAUGGCGCAAUUGGUGGCGCGUCUGACUGUUAGGCAUGCUUAGUCACGAGCACCUAAACUUGAAAUCAGAAGGUUGGUGGUUCGAGCCCACCUGGGAGAG
Non-coding RNA from Ceratobasidium sp. 414, 105 nucleotides. NCBI's taxonomy places the organism in Eukaryota, Fungi, Basidiomycota, Agaricomycetes, Cantharellales, Ceratobasidiaceae. The record is from the annotation of a GenBank genome assembly.